Molecule: long non-coding RNA, 227 nt
Organism: Mauremys reevesii (Reeves's turtle)
Lineage: Eukaryota; Metazoa; Chordata; Testudines; Geoemydidae
Exons: 3
Source: RefSeq, a predicted model, not a curated record
UGUGAGGAGAGCUGGGCGAACUCUGGGGGAAAUGAGAAGAAGCAAUGGGUCCCCCAAGCGGCUGAAAGUGGGUGGACAGUGGGGGGGUUGAAUGUCUGGAGGAGCUUGGCCAACGGUUGCCCUGGCCUGAAAGGGCCAUUCCGCCUUGUACUGAGACCCUGUCAGAUCUGACAAGCUGAGCUGGGCAGGUCUGGAGGGAACCCCUUCUGCAGGUGCUGCAGUAAGUG